This 569-nucleotide transfer RNA is filed under the name uncultured bacterium. Its description in RNAcentral is "16S-23S ribosomal RNA intergenic spacer". The stretch from base 196 to 268 matches the Rfam family "tRNA". The record is from RNAcentral.
CUAAGGAAAAUGGAAGCACGUUUGGGAUCUUUAUUUAGUUUUGAGAGGUCUUUGUGGGGCCUUAGCUCAGCUAAGCGACAACGAAUGUUGGCGCUUUGUCGAAACUAGCGGAGCUAGUGCACGACAGGGAACAGCGACAGACAACAAAGAUAUACUAAACAAAGUACUAAUAAAGUAUUAACCCGUUUAUUAGUCGGGGCCUUAGCUCAGCUGGGAGAGCGCCUGCUUUGCACGCAGGAGGUCAGCGGUUCGAUCCCGCUAGGCUCCAUUAACUAGGAUACAAAGAGAUGCUCGGCAUGCCGAAAUUUCUGUAGAAAAUUAGGAAUCUGACACUGUGUAUUUACACACAAGGAAGAUUAUCUAUUUUCCUAAGAAAUUAAUCUCGUGUUCAACUUAGUUAAACCAAUGUGUUUAAUCUAAAUAAGGUUAGCACAGAUAGUCCAUUGAAAAUUGAAUAUCUAUAUCAAAUUCCACAAUCAAUAAAAAAAUGAUUGUAAGAAUAGUAACAAGAAAAUAAACCGAAAACGCUGUAAGUAUUUAAUGAGUUUAGAUCGCAAGAUCAAAAAUAA